UGGGGAAUAGGGGAAAAGGGGAGCAAGCCUGAUCCAGCCAUGCCGCGUGAGGGAUGAAGGCCCUAGGGUUGUAAAGCUCUUGCACCGGUGAAGAUAAGGACGGUAACCGGAGAAGAAGCCCCGGCUAACUUCGUGCCAGCAGCCGCGGUAAUACGAAGGGGGCUAGCGUUGUUCGGAUUUACUGGGCGUAAAGCGCACGUAGGCGGACUUUUAAGUCAGGGGUGAAAUCCCGGGGCUCAACCCCGGAACUGCCUUUGAUACUGGAAGUCUUGAGUAUGGUAGAGGUGAGUGGAAUUCCGAGUGUAGAGGUGAAAUUCGUAGAUAUUCGGAGGAACACCAGUGGCGAAGGCGGCUCACUGGACCAUUACUGACGCUGAGGUGCGAAAGCGUGGGGAGCAAACAGG
This 404-nucleotide ribosomal RNA is filed under the name Actinomycetes bacterium. RNAcentral describes it as "Actinobacteria bacterium partial 16S ribosomal RNA". It matches the Rfam family "Bacterial small subunit ribosomal RNA", at positions 355 to 776 of the family's 1533-position model. The record is from RNAcentral. Lineage: Bacteria; Bacillati; Actinomycetota; Actinomycetes.